GGGAACUAAAGGAAAUAAAAAUUAUUUGUCCUUUCUCAGUGUUGCCAUUCUUAUAUUGACCCUUAUGGCCAUAAGCUUUCCUUCCCAAACCACCGCAAACAAUCGUCAUUUAUUUCCACCUCCAUCUCCAAGAAUUUCUACCCCUAACCAUUUUAAGUCUCCACCGCCAUCUCCACCCAUGAAACACUAUGUGCCGCCACCUCCACCUCCCGAGAAAUCAUACAUGUACAAGUCUCCUCCCCCACCUUCUCACUAAGCUGAUCGGAGAUAAGCCAAUGACUUCAAAGGAAAUUGAAGAGUAUUUGGUUAAAGAAUGGGUGAGCUUAAGAAAAUAAUAUAGUUAUAAUAAACCCCAUGGAGACACGAUUACUUAGAGGCUAGAGCUCCAUAAUAUUGUAUUGUUUCUAAUUUCUUUUCUUUUCUUUUCUUGAGGUUAGUUUUAUUUCACUCCUUUUUACUCUAUUCUAAUUUUCAGUUUCAUAUUUAUAAUUAAGAAAAAUGAACCAGACCUUUUCACCUCAUUACUUCAAGGAGUUUUGUUAUUUGUACCCGGAGUUUGACACUCCGAGUUACCUGGCGUGAGUGAGGGCAUCGGGCCCUACACAUUUAUUGGUGUGGGGCCCCCGACCCCAAUGUGAGUAACUCUGGGUACCUAUAGCAUAACUCUAUUUUGAGUGGUGCUCCUCCUGCUUUCCAUUGCUUGCUCCAUUUCUUUUUGGCAUGUCAUUUCAGCUCAUGCUGUACAUCUCGCCCAUCAACAAAUAAAUGGAUAAAGUCACUUCGUUUAAUAUGGGGACGCUCAUUUAUGACAGCGUUGGUUGCAAUUUCACUACCAUCAAAUCAUUAUGUUUCAUUUUAGAUCAAGUCUUCAGAUGAA
Molecule: long non-coding RNA, 877 nt
Organism: Olea europaea var. sylvestris
Lineage: Eukaryota; Viridiplantae; Streptophyta; Magnoliopsida; Lamiales; Oleaceae
Exons: 2
Source: RefSeq, a predicted model, not a curated record